GCGGGUAUAGCUCAGUGGUAGAGGGUUUGCUUAGCAAGCAUGAGGUCCUGGGUUCAAUCCCCAGUACCUCCA
This 72-nucleotide transfer RNA is filed under the name Camelus bactrianus (Bactrian camel). It matches the Rfam family "tRNA". Rfam says of the family: Transfer RNA (tRNA) molecules are approximately 80 nucleotides in length. Their secondary structure includes four short double-helical elements and three loops (D, anti-codon, and T loops). Lineage: Eukaryota; Metazoa; Chordata; Mammalia; Artiodactyla; Camelidae. RNAcentral also lists the same sequence under 2 other names. The record is from Rfam by way of RNAcentral.